AGAUUUUAAGUUAAUAAAAAACUAUUUACCUUCAAAGUAAAAAUUAUUGUAAAUAAAUCUU
This 61-nucleotide transfer RNA is filed under the name Rhipicephalus sanguineus (brown dog tick). RNAcentral describes it as "tRNA-Trp". Lineage: Eukaryota; Metazoa; Arthropoda; Arachnida; Ixodida; Ixodidae. The record is from RNAcentral.